Molecule: ribosomal RNA, 618 nt
Filed under: uncultured bacterium
Lineage: Bacteria
Description: bacterial SSU rRNA
Rfam family: Bacterial small subunit ribosomal RNA (bases 1-538)
Source: RNAcentral
CCUACGGGAGGCAGCAGUAAGGAAUAUUGGUCAAUGGACGAAAGUCUGAACCAGCCAUGCCGCGUGAAGGAUGAAGGCCCUCUGGGUUGUAAACUUCUUUUAUCUGGGACGAAAAAAGCUCAUUCUUGAGCACUUGACGGUACCAGAGGAAUAAGCACCGGCUAACUCCGUGCCAGCAGCCGCGGUAAUACGGAGGGUGCAAGCGUUAUCCGGAUUCACUGGGUUUAAAGGGUGCGUAGGUGGGUCUGAAAGUCAGUGGUGAAAUCUCCGAGCUUAACUCGGAAACUGCCAUUGAUACUAUAGGUCUUGAAUCAUCUGGAGGUAAGCGGAAUAUGUCAUGUAGCGGUGAAAUGCUUAGAUAUGACAUAGAACACCAAUUGCGAAGGCAGCUUACUACGGGUGCAUUGACACUGAGGCACGAAAGCGUGGGGAUCAAACAGGAUUAGAUACCCUGGUAGUCCACGCCCUAAACGAUGGAUACUCGACANACAGCGACUACACUGUUGGUUGUCGUGAGACGAAGACAUAAUAUACCACCGACGGAGACGACCGACGAGUAGUAACGUACGAAUAGAGUAGUAGACGNGAGAGNGCGACGGACGACGACGAGGGAGGAGG